GAUGAACGCUGGCGGCGUGCUUAACACAUGCAAGUCGAACGAUGAAGCCCAGCUUGCUGGGUGGAUUAGUGGCGAACGGGCGAGUAACACGUGAGUAACCCGCCCUUAACUCUGUGAUAAGCCUGGGAAACUGGGUCUAAUAGCUGAUAGCAGCGUCCACCUCAUGGUGGGUGUUGGAAAGAUUCAUCGGUUUUGGAUGGACUCGCGGCCUAUCAGCUUGUUGGUGAGGUAAUGGAUCACCAAGGCGACGACGGGUAGCCGGCCUGGGAGGGUGACCGGCCACACUGGGACAGGGGCGCGGCCAGGGCUCCAUCGGGGGGCAGCGGUGGGAAACAUUGCAAAAUGGGCGAAGGCCUGAUGCAGCGACGCCGCGUGGGGGAUGACGGCCUUCGGGUUGUAAACCUCUUUCAGUAGGGAAGAAGCGAAAGGGAGGGAACCAGCAGAAGAAGCACCGGCAAACUACGU
RNAcentral lists this ribosomal RNA (465 nucleotides) under uncultured bacterium. Its description in RNAcentral is "partial 16S ribosomal RNA". It matches the Rfam family "Bacterial small subunit ribosomal RNA", at positions 28 to 506 of the family's 1533-position model. The record is from RNAcentral.